RNAcentral lists this ribosomal RNA (547 nucleotides) under uncultured Coprinellus. RNAcentral describes it as "eukaryotic LSU rRNA". It matches the Rfam family "Eukaryotic large subunit ribosomal RNA", at positions 86 to 618 of the family's 3401-position model. The record is from RNAcentral. Lineage: Eukaryota; Fungi; Basidiomycota; Agaricomycetes; Agaricales; Psathyrellaceae.
ACUGCGAGUGAAGCGGGAAAAGCUCAAAUUUAAAAUCUGGCGGUCUUUGGCCGUCCGAGUUGUAAUCUAGAGAAGUGUUACCCGCGUCGGACCGUGUACAAGUCUCCUGGAAUGGAGCGUCAUAGAGGGUGAGAAUCCCGUCUUUGACACGGACUACCGAGACUUUGUGGUGCGCUCUCAAAGAGUCGAGUUGUUUGGGAAUGCAGCUCAAAAUGGGUGGUAAAUUCCAUCUAAAGCUAAAUAUUGGCGAGAGACCGAUAGCGAACAAGUACCGUGAGGGAAAGAUGAAAAGAACUUUGGAAAGAGAGUUAAACAGUACGUGAAAUUGCUGAAAGGGAAACGCUUGAAGUCAGUCGCGUCCUCCGGGAAUCAGCCUUCCUUCUGGUUGGUGUACUUCCUGGUGGACGGGCCAGCAUCAGUUUUGACCGGUGGAAAAAGUUGGAGGGAAUGUGGCACCUUCGGGUGUGUUAUAGCCCUCCUUCGUAUACAUCGAUUGGGACUGAGGAACUCAGCACGCCGCAAGGCCGGGAUUCGUCCACGUUCGUGC